GAACCAGAUUACAGAGUCGCCUGGAACUCUAACACAGAAAACUACUUCAGGGAAGGAGAGGAGGAAAAAAGGAAUCAAGAAAAAAAUUAAAGAUUUGACUGAAGCUGGUCCUUGGUUAGUGAAGUUGUAUCUGGCAGAUAACGGCAUAGACAGGAGAGGAAAAGAAGGAGAAAAUGGCUUGUUGGAAUUCACUCAAAUUUUAACAUGCCUGAUCACAUACUCUGCUCACUUAAGAGAAAUUGACCUCAGAAACAAUGUCCUGGGAGAGAUGGCUGCUGCUGACAUACUUGAAGCACUAAGAGCCAGAAAGACAGGUAAACUCCCAGUCUUAAAAAUUACAGUCACUCCUCAAAUGUCUUCUGAUACCUUCAGAUCUAUUUGGAAAAAUAGCAGGAAAUCUAGGAUUACCAGUAAAAAGAAGAAGAAGGUAACAGUAUCCCAAACCAUCAGUCCAUUCUAAUGGAUGAUUGUAUCAAAGGACAAGUCGUAGGAAAAAACAUAGUUCCCUCAAAGGUUGGUACAAACCUUGUCUCCUCUCUUCAACUUUCCCACCCUCUCCUCCCCCCACAAUCCUGGUACCUGUUAGCUUAUUGUGGAUUUGAAAUGGUGAAUUUACCUGAACUAUUUAUG
RNAcentral lists this long non-coding RNA (630 nucleotides) under Neogale vison (American mink). RNAcentral's name for it is "Neovison vison (American mink) lncRNA (ENSNVIG00000013809.1)". The record is from RNAcentral. Lineage: Eukaryota; Metazoa; Chordata; Mammalia; Carnivora; Mustelidae.